GAUGAACAAUGACAGAAUGCUUAACACAUGCAAGUCAACUUGAAUUUGGGUUUUUAACUUAGGUUUGGGUGGCGGACGGGUGAGUAACGCGUAAAGAACUUGCCUCACAGCUAGGGACAACAUUUGGAAACGAAUGCUAAUACCUAAUAUUAUGAUAAUAGGGCAUCCUAUAAUUAUGAAAGCUAUAAGCGCUGUGAGAGAGCUUUGCGUCCCAUUAGCUAGUUGGAGAGGUAACGGCUCACCAAGGCGAUGAUGGGUAGCCGGCCUGAGAGGGUGAUCGGCCACAAGGGGACUGAGACACGGCCCUUACUCCUACGGGAGGCAGCAGUGGGGAAUAUUGGACAAUGGACCGAGAGUCUGAUCCAGCAAUUCUGUGUGCACGAUGAAGUUUUUCGGAAUGUAAAGUGCUUUCAGUUGGGAAGAAACAAAUGACGGUACCAACAGAAGAAGUGACGGCUAAAUACGUG
Molecule: ribosomal RNA, 467 nt
Filed under: uncultured bacterium
Lineage: Bacteria
Description: partial 16S ribosomal RNA
Rfam family: Bacterial small subunit ribosomal RNA
Source: RNAcentral